UGAAAGAGUGUAUGAAAAAUAGAGAAAUAAUGUAAGAAAAGAUGAGAAGUUUAUGUUGGUAUAGUGAAAGAGAGUUGAAACAUAGAAAAAUAUUCUAAGUCUUCAACUAUAUGCAUUAUACAAAAGAGAGUAAUUAUAUGUUGAAGGAAGAUGUUCUUUUUGUGGAGCUUUGGACUCUUCAACUAAUCCAGAGCUGUUUCAGUUGUACGACGUUAACGUUGAUGGGCUAUUGUAUCCUGAAACGGACAAGUCAAGAGUGUUACUACAGGAUCAGUGUAGAUUACACCAUCAGAUAUUUAAUUCUCUCAAAAUAUAUCGGUUACGAUAGUUAUAUUUGUACACCCCUAGUUCAAAGGCCAUACCUAGAGUAUAAGCUCCUUUUGUGGUGAGGCAACAUGCAAAAUUCAUGUGAGAAAAAAGAAGAAGAAGAGGAAACCUUCACACUAUACCGACAAGAUUUUAAGCUAAAUACUAGUAGUACUAGCAAUUUUUUUUUGUCUCCCACCUGGUGUCCGGAGUCCACAUUGGAACUCCGACUAAAUCUGGAUCGUGCACUGCAGGGCUCAUUCGGGGGUGGCGCUCCCAACAUGAUUUUCUCCAUACCCAAGGCUCGAACCCGAGACCUCUGGUUAAGGGUGAAGCACUCCCACCAGUGCACCACAAUCCAUGUUGGUAGUAGCAAUUAAUUGUUCUAGGAAAAGGUCCUUGUGGCAAAUGAAUUUUGGACACUUAAUGCUUCAAUAAUAGAAUGAGUCUAUAAAGACAUUUGUACUAGUCGUUUCCUUGGUGUCAUGUGGUUGCAUUUGUUACCACUUAUCCAAAGAGUCAUUUUCAAUUGUAAUGUGAAAUCUUUGACAUUUCAAAUAACAAGUAUGGGGCUAGAUAUAAUACUCAAUAAUGCACUAUUGAAGAUUGCAUGUU
RNAcentral lists this long non-coding RNA (921 nucleotides) under Solanum tuberosum (potato). RNAcentral describes it as "long non-coding RNA (STUB_LNC010613)". The record is from RNAcentral. Lineage: Eukaryota; Viridiplantae; Streptophyta; Magnoliopsida; Solanales; Solanaceae.